CUUUUCAUCUUCACCUUCUUCUCUCGUCGUCUCUCUCUCUCUCUUUAUCUUCACCUCCCCCAACCCUAACAGCCACCACAGUUCCUUUUCAGUUUCAAAGAAAAAGAGAAAAAGUUAUGGAAAAAGCUGUAAAAAAUGAAGAGGAAGAAAGUGUAAUCAGUUUUAGAUCCUCUUUUACAAGAGUUAGAUCGGUAAUAUUGGUUGGAGAAAUUGAAAAAAAAACAAACUCUACAUAGAUCUUGCAGUAGUUAGGUUUCAUGGCUUUUGUCAUCUCAUCUUGUGCAUUUUUCCGUCUCUAUGAGGAUCUAUUUUAGCUUAACAUUGAAAAUCAGCCUGGAGCUUUUGAUAUCUUUUGGGGAUUAUUUUCCUUGUGGCUGCAUCAAAAUUUUUCCACAAAGAACAUUUGCAUAUAUCAUACAACUAAAUCAACAUCAAGGUGAAAUAGCAGUAAAAUAUUCACUUGACUUUUUGGGACGAUGCUUGGGAGUUGGAAUAAGUCAUGAUCUACUUGUAGAAUUGACAACAAAAAUAAGCAGGCUAGAAUAAAACUUGAUCCAGAUAUAGAUGCUUUCAUGAAAGCCACUGCAGUGAGAGAGUGAGCUUGAUAUCAUUGACGGUGUGGGUGUUGAAACAUGACAUGUAAUACGAACCAGCAUUGAUGGACGAAAUGGUCAAUCUAAGCAGGUCAGGAAUUUUCUUGGGUCAUUUGGUAUUGGCAAACUCUUGAGGUUAUUGUAUUGUAUUGAAUCAUAUUUGAAUUAUUAAGAACUAAGAAAUUCGGUGACAAUUUUCGUUUUUGAAGCUAACAAAAUAUUAGUUAUAUCAUGGAACUUGUAGUUUGGACUGGCUCUU
Molecule: long non-coding RNA, 852 nt
Organism: Vicia villosa (hairy vetch)
Lineage: Eukaryota; Viridiplantae; Streptophyta; Magnoliopsida; Fabales; Fabaceae
Exons: 4
Source: RefSeq, a predicted model, not a curated record